AGUAUUUUGACUAUACAAAGGUAUUGUAAUAAGAUUUUAAUUGAAUGCUAAAAGAAUGGAAAUUUAAAAAAAAACUUUUUUAAAAAUAAAAAUUGAAUUUUUUUUAAUUUGUGCAAAAACAAUUAUAUUUAUUAAAGACAAGAAGACCCUAAGAAUUUAAGAUUUUACAAUUAAAAAGUUUUUUUUUUAAAAUCUUGAUUGGGGCGAUCAAAAAAUAUUAAUAACUUUUUAAAAUUUAAAUUGAUCUAUUAUUAAUAAACUAAUGAAUUAAAUACUCUAGGGAUAACAGCGUAAUAAUUUUUGAUAGAUCUUAUUGACAAAAUAGUUUGCGACCUCGAUGUUGGAUUAGGAUUCUUUUUUAAUGAAGAAGUAAAAAAAGAAGUUUGUUCAACUUUUAAAUUCCU
RNAcentral lists this ribosomal RNA (404 nucleotides) under Hyalomma marginatum. RNAcentral describes it as "partial large subunit ribosomal RNA". Lineage: Eukaryota; Metazoa; Arthropoda; Arachnida; Ixodida; Ixodidae. The record is from RNAcentral.